GAAAUGCGAUAAGUAAUGUGAAUUGCAGAAUUCAGUGAAUCAUCGAAUCUUUGAACGCACAUUGCGCCCCUUGGUAUUCCGGGGGCAUGCCUGUUCGAGCGUCAUUACAACCCUCAAGCUCUGCUUGGAAUUGGGCACCGUCCUCACUGCGGACGCGCCUCAAAGACCUCGGCGGUGGCUGUUCAGCCCUCAAGCGUAGUAGAAUACACCUCGCUUUGGAGCGGUUGGCGUCGCCCGCCGGACGAACCUUCUGAACUUUUCUCAAGGUUGACCUCGGAUCAGGUAGGGAUACCCGCUGAACUUAAGC
This 307-nucleotide unclassified non-coding RNA is filed under the name plant metagenome. RNAcentral describes it as "partial contains 5.8S ribosomal RNA, internal transcribed spacer 2, and large subunit ribosomal RNA". The stretch from base 1 to 104 matches the Rfam family "5.8S ribosomal RNA", at positions 50 to 154 of the family's 154-position model. The record is from RNAcentral.